UCUCUUUUCUUCCCUUCCUUCUCCCCUCUCUCUGCGCCUCCCCUGAUUUCGAGUUCCCACUCCUCAUGUCUCCCUCCCCCAAAACCGACGCGACGAUGAUGUCGACGUGGUGCUUCCGCGGCGAUCGUCCCACCCUCACGGGCCUCCGCCUCCGCCGCAUCGUUUCCUUCCUCCGCCGUCACCGCCUUUACGACACCACCCACGCGUAUGAUCUCUGUCUCAACCCCCAUUGUUUCGUUUCUGAUGGAUGACGCAUCCAACGAUUUUGCAGGCUGGAGAGGCAGACGGGCGCCUUCUUCGACGCCGCGCACUUCCGCCGCCUCCUGCGCGACCUCCGCUGGGCCGACGCAUCCUCAUACGUGCUCGGCUUCAUCGCCGUCCGCGACUGCAGCCGCGAGGCCGACAUGCUCGUCGUCCGCAUCCUCAUCCUGCGCGACAUGGCCGACCUCGCCGCCGGCUGGACCCAGGACAUCGACGCCCUCUUCCGGCGCCUCUACGCCUCCCUCCAAUCCCACCCCGACGGGGCAGUUCGUGUCUUCCGUGAAGAGAUUUAGCUGCCACCACCUCCGCAGGACCCUACUCUCCAUGCGCUCCGACCGAGCCAGCUGCACUCGUCAAUUUGCUACCACUAGUUACCUGCAGCAACUAUUUCGAAAAAAACAAGGGCAUCCAGGCUCUAUCAUCGCGUCAAGCCCAUGGCAGUAGAGGUCAUUUUGAACAUGGCUGCCAAGUGCCCUGAGCUCAAAGCCAAGGCACAGUUACCGCCUACAUCUUAUCACUUGGUCCUAGCCCAGAGAUGCAUCAGCAUGAGUUGUCAGCGGUGGUGCAGAGCUAUAUGCGCGGCAAUGGCCUGAUUUGACCCCAAAGCUCCAAAAGCAGGGUUUCAUGCUUGUGCAUGCAUGCGAGACCUGAAUUGUAUCCCCCCCCCCCCCUCCAGGGUCAUAUGCGUUAAAUGUUUUUGCAAGCUGUGUAAAACUAGCCUCGGUCACAUCAUUAGUCAGUACUGCUAAAGACGUAAUAUUGGUUAAUACAAAAUCUGUAGGUUUUUUCAGUAGCA
This is an RNA transcript of Panicum hallii, 1057 nucleotides long. RefSeq lists it as uncharacterized. Lineage: Eukaryota; Viridiplantae; Streptophyta; Magnoliopsida; Poales; Poaceae. The transcript has 4 exons. The record is from RefSeq and is a predicted model, not a curated record.